UACGUAGGGCGCAAGCGUUGUCCGGAAUUAUUGGGCGUAAAGAGCUCGUAGGCGGUUUGUCGCGUCUGCUGUGAAAACUCGAGGCUCAACCUCGGGCUUGCAGUGGGUACGGGCAGACUAGAGUGCGGUAGGGGUGACUGGAAUUCCUGGUGUAGCGGCGGAAUGCGCAGAUAUCAGGAGGAACACCGAUGGCGAAGGCAGGUCACUGGGCCGCAACUGACGCUGAGGAGCGAAAGCAUGGGGAGCGAACAGG
Molecule: ribosomal RNA, 253 nt
Filed under: uncultured bacterium
Lineage: Bacteria
Description: partial 16S ribosomal RNA
Rfam family: Bacterial small subunit ribosomal RNA
Source: RNAcentral